This 374-nucleotide unclassified non-coding RNA is filed under the name soil metagenome. RNAcentral describes it as "partial contains internal transcribed spacer 2 and large subunit ribosomal RNA". The stretch from base 1 to 120 matches the Rfam family "5.8S ribosomal RNA", at positions 35 to 154 of the family's 154-position model. The record is from RNAcentral.
GAUGAAGAACGCAGCGAAAUGCGAUAAUUAAUGUGAAUUACAGAAUUCCGUGAAUCAUCGAGUCUUUGAACGCACAUUGCGCCUCAUGGCAUUCCGUGAGGCAUGCCCAUCUCAGCGUUAGAAAAUAUUCUCAAAUUUUAGUUUUGUGCUAAAAUUUGGAUCAUGUCAAGGAAGCUAUUACUAUUAUUGUGAUCGCUCUUUGGAAAUUGAUAGGUCUUUGAGUUGCUACUCAUAGAACGUGAUGAAUCUUUCUUCGUUCUAUUGUAAUUCACUCUGGUAGUCCUAAAACUUGUAUGCCUGUGGCAUAUCUUGUAAUUUGACCUGAGAUUGGGUAGGGAUACCCGCUGAACUUAAGCAUAUCAAUAAGCGGAGGA